GUGAAUCAUCGAAUUUUUGAACGCAAAUUGCACUCCCUGGUAUUCAGGGGAGUAUGCCUGUUUGUGGGUCGCUAGAAUAAAAAAUCGAGGCGUCGCUCUUUUUUUUAAGGGUGAUCGUGUAGGAAUUGAGCCGUCUUUUUCAUGUUAAUUCUUGUUAAAAUGGCUUUUAAUUCAUUCAUCCGGUACGAUUAAAGCGUAUUUAAGAUCAAUUUUGAUCAAGAAUGCGUGGUGAUGUAUGAUCGCAUGU
Molecule: unclassified non-coding RNA, 247 nt
Filed under: Glomeraceae sp.
Lineage: Eukaryota; Fungi; Glomeromycota; Glomeromycetes; Glomerales; Glomeraceae
Description: partial contains 5.8S ribosomal RNA and internal transcribed spacer 2
Rfam family: 5.8S ribosomal RNA (bases 1-71)
Source: RNAcentral